CCUACGGGGGGCAGCAGUGGGGGAUAUUGCACAAUGGGGGGAACCCUGAUGCAGCGACGCCGCGUGGGUGAAGAAGCGCCUCGUCGCGUAAAGCUCUAUCAGCAGGGAAGAAAAUGACGGUACCUGACUAAGAAGCCCCGGCUAACUACGUGCCAGCAGCCGCGGUAAUACGUAGGGGGCAAGCGUUAUCCGGAUUUACUGGGUGUAAAGGGAGCGUAGACGGCCAGACAAGUCAGAAGUGAAAGCCCAGGGCUCAACCCUGGGACUGCUUUUGAAACUGCCGGGCUGGAGUGCAGGAGAGGGAA
This 305-nucleotide ribosomal RNA is filed under the name uncultured bacterium. RNAcentral describes it as "bacterial SSU rRNA". It matches the Rfam family "Bacterial small subunit ribosomal RNA", at positions 338 to 660 of the family's 1533-position model. The record is from RNAcentral.